UGUUUAUAUUGGCACGAUUUUCGCAAAUCACUUCAAAUAAUUAAUUAUAGCAAUUUAUUAUUAAAUUUUUACCCCAAAUCAAUUCCCCCAAAAGUUCAGGCAACUAUGUUGUCUGUUUUGGCAGUAAUCGCAGGAGCAAAAUUACGAAAUCAAUUGCAACAAAUGUAAAUCAACCCUUGCUACCAAACUCGAGUGGCAAUUUAAUAGCACAGCAACUGGGUACCUAUCAUGUACUUGAAAAAGAAUUAUUAUAUGGAGUGACUUGAUUGCCAAUACCAAAAUUCACAACGAUUUUUCCUGUUUAUCAGCCUUAGAUAUCACCAAUUACCCUUUUAAAUUCAAGAUUAAAUUUAUUCAGUUCAAAACAACAAAUCUGCAAAACAAAAAAGUGUACUGUACACACGAAAUAAUCUAUGAACUGAAAUCCGCUAAAACCGUACACACAACUAUGUAAUCAUGCAAUUUUCCGCAAAAACCUUUAUCCCGAACAAAUAUGCACAAUUUAAUGUACAAUUUAUCAACAAUCACUGGCGUAAACUAUUUUAUUUUAAUUUUUAAAUCAGAGCAAAAUAAUAAUCAACCGCACUUCUCAAUAUACCUUGACCGUCAUCUCUAUAUGUCCAUUCUACAUUCCAUUUAUCCUUUUUUUAUAAUUUUUUAACUUCUCUAAGGUGAAAAAUUUUUCCAUCCACUUUUCAUAUUUGUUAAAUUAUUCUUGAGUUGAUUUGUUUCCUCAAUCAAUUCAGCAUUUUGUUUUACAAAAUUUUUUCAUUUCUUUUGCAAAUCAAAAAGUUUCAAUUGCAGCGCACAUUCAAACUCAUAAUUGUAUACCAUUAUUAGAUUUGAAUAAUAAAUUCAAAGAAAUAAAUAUUUGCUACCUUACUCAGUUUUUACGGUAGAAAAUUUAGGAACUCUCAGUUUCCAUAAUUCAUUAUUUAGCAAAAGUUUUUAUCCUUUUUUUAAGGAGAGAGAGAUUUAUAAGAUUGGUUCUAAAUGUGUAAUCUUCACUGUUAAAAUGCAAGGAGCAUACCCCAGCAUUUUUCAUAAUUAGUUUUCAUAUUUUCACUUUUGAUGCAAUACACCAUAAUAUAAUUUAAUUUUUAUAAUCAAAAAAAAAAAUUAAAAUGUUUUUUUUUUUCUUCGAAAAAUUUUAAAAUUAAAUUUGCAUUUACAUGUAUGUUUUUUUUAAUUUUCACAAGAGUUCACAAAAACCAAAUCGCAUUACUUAAAAAAAUGUAAACAAUGAAAAUAUGCUCCAGGAUACGUAAGAUUUUUGAAAAAUGGCAUCGGAGAUUUCUUAUUAAGCAUACCUUGUUACCAUGCUGUAACUUAUAAAAAAUAAAGCUGUCCCGAAAAUUUAAAUUUUUCAAAAGUUAUACAAUAAAUAGUUCUGUCUGGGAUAAAACUUGAAAAACUUUAAAAAGAGAAACAAUAGCGAAAUUUUUCGCAAAAAAAAAAAAUAAACCAGAUGAAAAACUUGAAAAUAACUUAAAAACUUUAUAUUUGAUAAACAUAAAGUUUCAAAGUAUGUAUUUAUCAAACAUAUAUUUUUCGUUUAUACAAAAAACUGAAAAUAUUGAUUUUUGAUUAUAAAAGUGUGAAACUUAAAAAAACCGCUUGUGAACCCAUUUUGGUUAUUUUAUUUUUAGCUGAAAAGUUUUGAAAAAAAAAAUUAUUGUUGAUCAAAAAUUUUUUUUUCAAAUAUAAAACUUUCUGACAUAACCAAGAAAAACAUAUGUUUCGAAAGCUGUAAGAUUUUAAAUUUUUAAAACACUAAACUUUACUUACCAAACCUUAAAAAACUUUAAACAUUGAGAAAAUGAGAAUGUCAUCAUUUUUUUUAAAAAAGUAUUAUCCCUAAUCCCAGACGCUUUGCAUGCAAAAACUUUAUAAAGUUUUCAAAGGUUUUUAAAAGCUUUCUCAUACCAGACAAACCUAAUAGGGAUGUUUUACAUGAGCAGCUAAAGACUAUUGGGUACGUUCAGCAAACUAAAGCGCCUUGAUAAAUUGCGACGCUUAGUUGAUUAUCGAUGCAGAGCUCAACUGAACGAUUUGCAGCACUUUAUUUUUGCUUUAAAAAAUAAAACUUUUGCUAUAUUGA
Condylostylus longicornis is the source of this 2101-nucleotide long non-coding RNA. RefSeq lists it as uncharacterized. The transcript has 2 exons. The record is from RefSeq and is a predicted model, not a curated record. NCBI's taxonomy places the organism in Eukaryota, Metazoa, Arthropoda, Insecta, Diptera, Dolichopodidae.